AAACCAUAAAUUGGACACUCGAGUAUCUAUUUCCGAAAAUGCAAUCAAGCCUCAUGAAGAGGUUCACCAACAUUUUGAUGAAAGUUUGUUAUCACAUCUGAGAGU
Non-coding RNA from Solanum lycopersicum (tomato), 105 nucleotides. The record is from Rfam. NCBI's taxonomy places the organism in Eukaryota, Viridiplantae, Streptophyta, Magnoliopsida, Solanales, Solanaceae.